GCAAAUAUUGAAUACCAUAUGAGGUUAAGUAUUUCAGAUGUUAAAAAGUUCUUCUUGCUGGUUAUAAAUUACAGCUGUGAACUUAAUUGGCUCUCUAAUGAUUGAUUGAAUAUACCACUCCCCAUUGCAUGUUAGAUUAAAGACAUCAUUUAGGGGAUCUGUUAGGUAACCAGUAAGAAUGGCAUUCCACAUAGUACUAUGAGGUCUUAACACAUCACUAACUAAUAAUAAAUUAAUUAAUCAGCCAGCAGAAAGUGAUGUAAUAUCAAGGGAGCUAUAAAGGGAUGUCCUUAUAUUGCCUCUCAUUCUGUAGUUGGGAUUCAGUGAGGUUGCACUUGUUCCUGUAAACAGGAAUAGUUUCGUUCAGGAUUUGAAAUUUUCCUAAGUUCUCUGUUUGGUGACAUGUAUAAACAGAGGUAGACUAUAAGGUUCCACCAUUCUUGAUUGAAAAUAGGGAACGUAACAUCAUCUAAUUUCAACCAAAUUUAUAUAUAUUUUUUUUGAAGUCUAUCUAGAUAUUAUAUUUAUCGAAUUGAAUAUGUGAUUGGAUGUAAUCAUUGGAUAUUCUAAACCUUUCUAAUCAAUGGUAAUCACUCCUACUAUAAGAACUGAUUCCAAACCCCUGAUGAAGUCCUAACGGACGAAACGCGUUGGGUUUUGCAACGUCUGGUUAACAAAGUCCUUAUCACAAACAUCUGGUUGGAGAUACAUCCAUUUCGAGUUCUGACUGUGAUCACCUGGCUGUAAAAUCCUCACAUCCAACUGUAAUUUAUGUAUAAGAUUGUAAUAUUGUUUUAUAUGAAUUUUUAGAAGGUUGUGUCAAUAACAAACGCUUAGGAUAAAUAUCGUUUGUUUCUGUACAAUAAAAACUUUUAAUUAUUGUCAUACAAAAGGCA
Pseudophryne corroboree (corroboree frog) is the source of this 896-nucleotide long non-coding RNA. RefSeq lists it as uncharacterized. The transcript is spliced from 5 exons. The record is from RefSeq and is a predicted model, not a curated record. Lineage: Eukaryota; Metazoa; Chordata; Amphibia; Anura; Myobatrachidae.